Molecule: long non-coding RNA, 554 nt
Filed under: Homo sapiens (human)
Lineage: Eukaryota; Metazoa; Chordata; Mammalia; Primates; Hominidae
Description: HSALNT0017361
Source: RNAcentral
UUGGGUUCCUCAAGACAGAGAAGGAGACUGUCCCAACGCGUCCCGCAGCCCACCCUGCCUCGAAACUCCCUGCGGUGAUGUCGGGGCUAGAGGAAUCCAGGGCUUGGUCCCUGCAGCUGAGGCCUACGGGAUAUCCCAGGAAAGAGCAGCCUCUCCGUAGUGGUGAAGAGUCUCUCAAGCCUUAGCGCUCUGGUGACCUCCGCGGGAUUCUGAGAAAAGCACUGCGGAACGGCGGGAGCGGGCCCUGCUGCUUGCUUCGCGCCCCCCACCCGCCCGGGGACCGCGACUAAGUCCCCGACGCAGCUCUUCCCUUUUCCUGAAUACCCUGGGACUCUGCUCCCGAGUUCCAGCUCCGAGGACUCAAAGACAGUCUCCGUUCCUCACUCUUCAAAGACCACCUCCUUUUCUAGAGGUGGGCUCCCCGACCUUGCGCUUCUAGAGCUGCAGGAGCGGCGCUGCACAGGUCUGACAAGCCCAGCUCAUUGGCGGGUAUCUGAGCCAUCAGUCUGAAAGACAUUUGGGGAAAAUUCAUAGAACAUAGAAAUUCAUAUUAU